GGGUUCCUGUCCAACGUUAAUCGGGGCAGGGUGAGUCGACCCCUAAGGCGAGGCCGAAAGGCGUAGUCGAUGGGAAACAGGUUAAUAUUCCUGUACUUGGUGUUACUGCGAAGGGGGGACGGAGAAGGCUAUGUUGGCCGGGCGACGGUUGUCCCGGUUUAAGCGUGUAGGCUGGUUUUCCAGGCAAAUCCGGAAAACCAAGGCUGAGGCGUGAUGACGAGGCACUACGGUGCUGAAGUGACAAAUGCCCUGCUUCCAGGAAAAGCCUCUAAGCAUCAGGUAACAUCAAAUCGUACCCCAAACCGACACAGGUGGUCAGGUAGAGAAUACCAAGGCGCUUGAGAGAACUCGGGUGAAGGAACUAGGCAAAAUGGUGCCGUAACUUCGGGAGAAGGCACGCUGAUAUGUAGGUGAAGCGACUUGCUCGUGGAGCUGAAAUCAGUCGAAGAUACCAGCUGGCUGCAACUGUUUAUUAAAAACACAGCACUGUGCAAACACGAAAGUGGACGUAUACGGUGUGACGCCUGCCCGGUGCCGGAAGGUUAAUUGAUGGGGUUAGCGGUAACGCGAAGCUCUUGAUCGAAGCCCCGGUAAACGGCGGCCGUAACUAUAACGGUCCUAAGGUAGCGAAAUUCCUUGUCGGGUAAGUUCCGACCUGCACGAAUGGCGUAAUGAUGGCCAGGCUGUCUCCACCCGAGACUCAGUGAAAUUGAACUCGCUGUGAAGAUGCAGUGUACCCGCGGCAAGACGGAAAGACCCCGUGAACCUUUACUAUAGCUUGACACUGAACAUUGAGCCUUGAUGUGUAGGAUAGGUGGGAGGCUUUGAAGUGUGGACGCCAGUCUGCAUGGAGCCGACCUUGAAAUACCACCCUUUAAUGUUUGAUGUUCUAACGUUGGCCCCUAAUCGGGGUUGCGGACAGUGUCUGGUGGGUAGUUUGACUGGGGCGGUCUCCUCCUAAAGAGUAACGGAGGAGCACGAAGGUUGGCUAAUCCUGGUCGGACAUCAGGAGGUUAGUGCAAUGGCAUAAGCCAGCUUGACUGCGAGCGUGACGGCGCGAGCAGGUGCGAAAGCAGGUCAUAGUGAUCCGGUGGUUCUGAAUGGAAGGGCCAUCGCUCAACGGAUAAAAGGUACUCCGGGGAUAACAGGCUGAUACCGCCCAAGAGUUCAUAUCGACGGCGGUGUUUGGCACCUCGAUGUCGGCUCAUCACAUCCUGGGGCUGAAGUAGGUCCCAAGGGUAUGGCUGUUCGCCAUUUAAAGUGGUACGCGAGCUGGGUUUAGAACGUCGUGAGACAGUUCGGUCCCUAUCUGCCGUGGGCGCUGGAGAACUGAGGGGGGCUGCUCCUAGUACGAGAGGACCGGAGUGGACGUAUCACUG
RNAcentral lists this ribosomal RNA (1379 nucleotides) under Escherichia coli. Its description in RNAcentral is "partial 23S ribosomal RNA". It matches the Rfam family "Bacterial large subunit ribosomal RNA", at positions 1349 to 2711 of the family's 2925-position model. The record is from RNAcentral. Lineage: Bacteria; Pseudomonadati; Pseudomonadota; Gammaproteobacteria; Enterobacterales; Enterobacteriaceae.